RNAcentral lists this ribosomal RNA (371 nucleotides) under uncultured bacterium. Its description in RNAcentral is "bacterial SSU rRNA". It matches the Rfam family "Bacterial small subunit ribosomal RNA", at positions 527 to 896 of the family's 1533-position model. The record is from RNAcentral.
GGAGGGUGCAAGCAUUAAUCGGAUUUAUUGGGCGUACAGGGCGCGUAGGCGGAAAUGUAAGUCAGAUGUGAAAUCCCGGGGCUCAACUCCGGAACUGCAUUUGAAACUACAUUCCUUGAGGGUAGGCGGAGAAAACGGAAUUCCACAAGUAGCGGUGGAAUGCGUAGAUAUGUGGAAGAACACCUGUGGCGAAAGCGGUUUUCUAGCUUACUCCUGACGCUAAGGCGCGAAAGCUAGGGGAGCAAACAGGAUUAGAUACCCUGGUAGUCCUAGCCGUAAACUAUGUAUACUUGGUGUAUUUGGAAUCAACCCCAAAUGUGCCGUAGCUAACGCGUUAAGUAUACCGCCUGGGGAGUACAGUCGCAAGGCUG